CAGCCGCCGCGGGAAUACGGAGGAUCCGAGCGUUAUCCGGAAUUAUUGGGUUUAAAGGGUGCGUAGGCGGAUAGAUAAGUCAGUGGUGAAAGACGGUGGCUCAACCAUCGCAGUGCCGUUGAUACUGUUUAUCUUGAAUAUGGAUGAGGCAGGCGGAAUGUGGCAAGUAGCGGUGAAAUGCAUAGACAUGCCACAGAACACCGAUUGCGAAGGCAGCUUACCAAGGCAAAAUUGACGCUGAGGCACGAAAGCGUGGGGAUCGAACAGGAUUAGAUACCCGAGUAGUCCCUGUCUCUUAUAA
This 301-nucleotide ribosomal RNA is filed under the name uncultured bacterium. RNAcentral describes it as "partial 16S ribosomal RNA". It matches the Rfam family "Bacterial small subunit ribosomal RNA", at positions 509 to 809 of the family's 1533-position model. The record is from RNAcentral.